CCUACGGGUGGCAGCAGUGGGGAAUAUUGCAAAAUGGGGGGAACCCUGAUGCAGCAAUGCCGCGUGGGUGAAGAAGCACUACGGUGGGGAAAGACCUGUCAGCAGGGAAGAAAAGGACAGUACCUGACCAAGAAGCCACGGCUAACUACGUGCCAGCAGCCGCGGUAAUACGGAGGGGGCAAGCGUUAUCCGGAUUUACUGGGGGUACAGGGAGCGCAGGCGGUAUGGCAAGUCAGAUGUGAAAACCCAGGGCCCACCCCUGGGACUGCAUUUGAAACUGCCAUACUGGAGUGCCGGAGAGCUCAGUGGCAUUCCUUGUGUAGCGGUGCAAUUCGUCGCUCUUAGGAG
This 348-nucleotide ribosomal RNA is filed under the name uncultured bacterium. RNAcentral describes it as "partial 16S ribosomal RNA". It matches the Rfam family "Bacterial small subunit ribosomal RNA", at positions 338 to 703 of the family's 1533-position model. The record is from RNAcentral.